Oryza sativa Japonica Group (Japanese rice) is the source of this 3832-nucleotide non-coding RNA. The record is from RefSeq and is a predicted model, not a curated record. NCBI's taxonomy places the organism in Eukaryota, Viridiplantae, Streptophyta, Magnoliopsida, Poales, Poaceae.
CCGGUGGUAAAUUAUUAAGCGCGAAACUAAAAGGGGCAUUUGGAUAAGUGCCAAACCUAAAAGUGGCAAAUAGUUAAAUUCCCCCCAAUGGUGAAGAGGAUGACAUGAGAGAGUGGGAAGGGGAUGAAUGAAGAAGAUAGGGGUAAUUUGGUCAAGAAAAAACAGAAAAUGUAUUGAAGGGGUAAGUAGUGGCAUAUAUUAUCAAAUAACUAUUGAAUUACAAUGGCAUGGCUUCAAAUAGAUAAAUAGUAAUGGUAUUUUUCAAAAUUGGUAAAUAUGUAAUGGCAUGGAUCCAAUUAACCCUUGAUAAAUCCAAUCACAACAAAAAAUAAUGGCAUAACCCUUGAUAUCCAAAAUGCGAAAAGAUGUGACAGAAACAGUUCCUUGAAUUUCAUAUGGUUGAAGGACACACUGAGCUACAGACUCCAGUGGACAAUGUGCCUCCAUUAGCCAUUGUUACUGAAAUUGGAGGAUGGUUGGAGAUUUCCAAAUUUGCCUUGUGCACCGAUGAACCAUUCACUGAGCCGAGUAUGUGCAAGACAAGACACGGCUAGAUAAGUCAAAUAGAAGAAAUUGCUUUUACACAAGCAACUCUUACCUUCACUUUGGGAGACAUGAAUAUCGUAGUACUGCCACUAUCAACCAGUGCAGUAGCAAGGAGAGAGCCAAUUUUAACUUGCAAGGUGAAGGUAGUUAUACCAGCAUUUAGACCAUUCAAAGCAUGCAGCGACACUUCAGGAGAAGGUUGAGGUUCAGUAGGACUGUCAGGAGUAGUGUAAAUAACAUCACCUGAAUAUUCAACUGGUAGGUCAUCCUCCUCCAUGGUAACCAAGUAAAGUUGUUAGUUUACUUUACACACUCUUCCAUGACCAGGGACCCACGGCUCCUGGCAUUUGAAGCAUUUGCCCCCUCCUCUGGUUUGGACAACAGGAAGAGAUUUGCGUCUGUUUGCAUUGGUUCCUUCUUGACAGGUUGCAUAGGGGAAUCCUUAAGAGCCACUUUAGGGUAAGAAUGAGCAGUGCCAGCUGGCUGUAUAGAAGAGAAGGUGGGGCUGUCAUAAUUGUGAGCAUGUUCAUAAGCUUGCAUCUUCAAAGACUUGAGAGGUCUUUUGAUAUGAUCCUUCAGUCCUAAGAUGAAGUAUUCCAAGAAGUAUUCUUCAUUGAGAUGGGGUUUAUUGUGUUUGACAAGAGGCAUAAUUUCUUCAAACUUGUCAAUGUAAUUGUCUACUGAGCCAUACUGACUUAACUGCAAACCGCUGGCACAACAUGGUGCAAAAUUCAGGCCAAGAAAGAGUAUCGGUAGGAAUAUCAUAACUUGAGAUCCACUGAUCUGCUUUGCCAAUGAUGUACACUUUAGCCAAAGGCACUUCAUCUUCUUCAGGGGUACGGGCCAGAGAAAAGUAUUUGUUGGCCUUUCAGAUCCAAGACUCAGGGUGAUCCCCAUCAAACACCGGAAAAUCCACAUGCUUAUGAUUACGAUUAAAAGGGUCACCAUAUUGAGGUCUUUUUCUGUAACUGUGAUCAACAGAAUCAUAACGAGUCUCCUCCUGUCUGUGCCAGAAUGGUGGUCCACGAUCAAGAGGUCGGUGGAAAUCAAAGGAGGGUGGGGGUGGAGGUGGUGGACUUGGUUGAUAACCCCAAGGAGAUUGAUAGGGAGGGUAGAAAUAUGGUGGUAAGGUAGGGUUUUGUCCAUUGGUCAUCAAUUGGCCAGUUCUAUACUGUGGAGGUGGAGGUGGAGGUAUAGGUGGUGUUCCAAAGUAAACUGAAGUGUUCCACUCCAGAUUUGGGGGCCACCGACUGAGCAUUUCCCGGGCGACAGAGUGUUACCUCGACCAUCUUGCCCUUGACAACCGAUGAUAGAUCCCAAAAUAUCUUGUAUCACCUCCAGAUUUUGCAUCACUUCGUCCUUGUGAUUCUUAGCCUGCACUGCCUGAUUCUGAAUCUGCUCUUGCAGCAUCUUAUUCUCUUCCCCAACCUUCUUCUGAAACUCCUCAAAAUUCACUCUCAAUUCCUCUACCGCGAUUUCCAUCUGACGGCCACCCCUCGCCAUGAGCAGCAACAACAGGUACAGAGAUUUUACAGAAGAAAACUACCUACGGCUUCUUCCAACCCUCCCUGCUACCACUUAAAGUAGUUGAUCCCCGAAUCGGACUCAAGGAUCUGGCUAUGGAAUUUUACAGAGGAACUCGUCCUCAAACCCUCACCAACGAAGGACCUCCAAAUUCGAUGGAUCUGGCCAAGAACCGAGUAGCUCUGAUACCUUUUGUCAGGAUCCGGGGGCCAAAUUCACCCAGACUCCUAAAAAAUAUUCAGAGUUUUGGGCUGAGAAUCUAACUAAUAGGAAUCCUGACAUUGUGUAACCAAAAGUUUGCUUCAUUCAGCUCAAUCUCUAGUCAAUUAUCUUCAGAUCAUUCAUCAAGUUACAUAAGUGCAUGACUUUAUAUGCCUUCUGUUCUGUAUCAUUGAUACCCUACAUCAUUACUGAAGAAUCACCAAGGAAACUUUUGCUAAUUGAACAGUGACAGCACAUUCCACAGAUAGGAUUGUGAUUUCUAAUUGAGUUCGUAAUUUUAGUUUACCAGCACAGAUAGGAAGAUGCCAUGGCACUGUGUUGUCCUGGACCAAAAAUGGUAAUCCCUCAGCUUUUUAAUAUAUGAUGUUAUUGACUUCUUAAGAUAUUUCGUCAUAAUAUUGAAAAAAAAUAAAUAUAAUUUAUUUUCUUUUGACUUGAUUUAUCAUUAAAAAAUUUAAGCAUGACCUAUAUUUUGUAUGAAAAAAUUGAAUAAGACAAAUGGUUAAAUAUAUGUAUAAAAGUCAACGUUUUCAUAUAUUAACAGCAUAUAUUAAAAAUCGGAGGAAGUAUUUCACGCUACCACGGAUUUCCUAGAUUUACAGUAUUAGUGAUUGGGUAACAUAAAAAAAAAUAGGGUUAAUUUGAUCUAUAUCAUUGCAAAUAUGUCUAUUCAAAUAAAUGCCAUUACAAUUCGUCUAUUUUUAGUUGUGCCACUCAAAUUUUAUAAAAUUGAAACCAUGCCAUCACCGCCACAUUUUUCAUCUUCUUCCUCAUCUACAUGUGGAGCCUACCCGUCAGAUUCAUCAUCAUCCUUCAUCCUUUCCCUUUUCUCUUUUUUUUUCCAUCUCUCUCCACCACUUCUUGGCCUCAUCCCAUGCACGUGGGCCUGUGGCGGACACCACUUCUCUCCUCGGCCUCCUGCUACUCGGUGGUGCAGUCUGUCAAGUCCUCGCCAUCUCGUGCUACUCGGUGGCGCAGUUUGUCAAGAGACUCAAGACGAAUGGCGGCGGCAACGUGUCGGCGGUCAGGGACCCCGACAUGUGGCGUGACGGCCUCCGCAUUGCCUCGGCCGUGAGGCCCUCCCCCGUGGCGUCGAGCCGCCGACUACUUCGAUCUUGGUUGGUCCAUUCUUGUUAAAUCCAAACAGAUGUUGUCCCUAGAUUGGAUGAGUUCAUUUGUCAAAUUGACAGUGAGAAAUGUGAAAUCUUUGCAGAGAAUGGCGUGGACGAGCACGGCAAGCCGACGCACAAGGUGGUGCACAGGGUGACGGACGCCGACAACAACCUCCGUGCCGGCAACCCGUUCCCCGGCGCGACGGCGAACAUCAUGAACAUGGUGGAGAGAAGUGGGAAAAAAAGAAAAGAGGAGAGGAUGGAGGAAGAAGAUGAAUCUGACGGGUGGGCCCCACGUGCAGAUGGGGAAGAAGAUGGAAAACGUGACGGCGAUGGCAUGGUUACAAUUUUAUAAAACUAGUAAUAUGCCCGUGCUAAUGCUACGGUGUUAUUGUAUUUUUAUAAUAUUCAAGAAACCUUUAUCUCUU